This 702-nucleotide long non-coding RNA is filed under the name Phasianus colchicus (ring-necked pheasant). RNAcentral describes it as "lncRNA (ENSPCLG00000010463.1)". Lineage: Eukaryota; Metazoa; Chordata; Aves; Galliformes; Phasianidae. The record is from RNAcentral.
ACCAGUGUUAUUGUUCAGAAAAAGUUCUCUUAUUUGUUUAACUACUUUGUUUGUUUGUUUGUUCAACAGAUUGGGUGGCCAGCUUCUGUGCAGAAAAAGGGAAAGCACUGACACACUCAACUGAAGAAGUUGUCUUGUGAUGAAACAGCACAUUUCAGUGACCGAUGACAGCAUGGAGAACUAUAAAUGGUUAUGCAGGACAGCAAACAUACUGUCAGGCAUGUGGGAGAAGGGCUCCAGUAACAAAGCCAUGCAAGGACACAUGGCAGGAAAAAAGCUCACUGGCUACAAUUCCUGUGUUCUGUGCACAAUGACCCCCAUUCUACUAACAUUUUUGUGAAAGACCAUGAAGCCAGUAGGGGUAUGUCUAGUUGUCUUCUCAGCAUGCAAUUUUAGUGCCUUCAACUGAGUCACAUUGUCCAUAGUUGCAGAAAUGUUACAGUUUUACAGUGUACUGACUCAAAUUGCAGAUCAUGCAUCUACUGCAGUUCUCUUUUUAUGUUUUCUUAAAGAGAAGGUGAUUUUUUUCUCAACCUGAGAGGAUGGCAUACUCAUUAUAGACAAAAGAUUAUUACAGUAGAUCAAUUACUCAUACAAGCAAAUUCAUUGAGUUCAAGGCUUGAAUUCUUUCCACUAAUGAUGCUCAUUACCUUUUGAAUUGGUACAGCUUUAACAUAUUUAUAUCAAAGGUGUUUAAGAAAU